Molecule: small nuclear RNA, 313 nt
Filed under: Carlito syrichta (Philippine tarsier)
Lineage: Eukaryota; Metazoa; Chordata; Mammalia; Primates; Tarsiidae
Description: 7SK RNA (ENSTSYG00000021695.2)
Rfam family: 7SK RNA
About the family: 7SK was discovered as an abundant small nuclear RNA in the mid-70s but a possible function has only recently been suggested.
Source: Rfam by way of RNAcentral
AGAUGUGAGUGCAAUCUGACUGAGACAUCUAUUACCCACUGAAUGCCAGAGUUGAUUCAGCUAAUCUGGCUGGCUAGGUGGGUGUCCCUUCCUCCCUCACUGCUCCAUGUGCUUCCCUCUCGAAGCUGGGUGCUUGGUUGAAGAGGACAACCAUCCCCACUAUAGGAGGACCAUUUUUCGGUCAAAGGUAUAGGAGUAGCUUUGCUCCCCUGCUAGAGCCUCCAAACAAACUCUCAAAGUAACCCACUCAGGCAAAAAUAAGGAAAAUGAAUAUCAAAAAUGAACAAAGCCUCCCAGAAAAAUGGGUUUAUGU